RNAcentral lists this ribosomal RNA (448 nucleotides) under uncultured bacterium. RNAcentral describes it as "bacterial SSU rRNA". It matches the Rfam family "Bacterial small subunit ribosomal RNA", at positions 330 to 793 of the family's 1533-position model. The record is from RNAcentral.
UCCAGACUCCUACGGGAGGCAGCAGUGGGGAAUAUUGGGCAAUGGGCGAAAGCCUGACCCAGCAACGCCGCGUGAAGGAAGAAGGCUUUCGGGUUGUAAACUUCUUUUAAGAGGGAAGAGUAGAAGACGGUACCUCUUGAAUAAGCCACGGCUAACUACGUGCCAGCAGCCGCGGUAAUACGUAGGUGGCAAGCGUUGUCCGGAUUUACUGGGUGUAAAGGGCGUGUAGCCGGGCCGGCAAGUCAGAUGUGAAAUCCCAAGGCUCAACCUUGGAACUGCAUUUGAAACGGUUGGUCUUGAGUAUCGGAGAGGCAGGCGGAAUUCCUAGGGUAGCGGUGAAAUGCGUAGAUAUUAGGAGGAACACCAGGGGGGAGGGCGGCCUGCUGGACGACAACUGACGGUGAGGCGCGAAAGCGUGGGGGGCACACAGGAUUAGAUACCCUGGUAC